Molecule: long non-coding RNA, 957 nt
Organism: Seriola aureovittata
Lineage: Eukaryota; Metazoa; Chordata; Actinopteri; Carangiformes; Carangidae
Exons: 2
Source: RefSeq, a predicted model, not a curated record
AGAGACAAAAACAGCUGCUACUGACAGAUUCUUUUCACUUCUACAGAAGAUAGAAGCCAUGCAGCUCUUCGUUGUAGAACACAGACUCAAUAUAUGAAGUCCAGGACAUUUCAAUGUCUUCAGGAUGAUGUUUGUUGAAUAUUAUUUCUAGUGUUUAGCUCAGACCUGAGACCAUUUACUUGUUAGCAAAAGUAUAAUUUUCACAUAAAUUACUAAGGAAUUCGAUAAAUUCCACAAAUAAUAAGGCGUCAAAAAUGUCAUAGUAUAGGAAAGCAUAAAACAUCAUAAUAUGGUUAAGUGACAAAAAUGUACAAAAACGUCAUAGUAUCGUAUGGUAUAAAAAUGUCAAAGUAUAGAAAGGCAUCAAAAAUGUCAUAGUUUAGUAAGGUAUGAAAAAAACCAUAAUAUAGUUAAAUGUCCAAAAAUGUCAUAGUAUCGUAUGGUAUAAAAACGCCAAAAAACGUAAUAGUAUAGUAAGGCGUCAAAAAUGUCCAAAAAUGUCAUAGUGUAGUAAAGUGUCAAAAAUGUCCAAAAACGUAAUAGUAUUGUAAGGCAUACAAAUGUCAUAGUAUAGUAAGGCAUAAAACGUCAAAAAUCAUCAUAAUAUAGUUAAGUGUCAAAAAUGUCCAAAAACGUCAUAGUAUCGUAUGGUAUAAAAACGCCAAAAAACGUAAUAGUAUAGUAAGGCGUCAAAAAUGUCCAAAAAUGUCAUAGUAUAGUAAGGCGUCAAAAAUGUCCAAAAAUGUCAUAGUAUAGCAAAGUGUCAAAAAUGUCCAGAAACGUCAUAGUAUUGUAAGGCAUACAAAUGUCAUAGUAUAGUAAGGCAUAAAGCGUCAAAAAACAUCAUAAUAUAGUUAAGUGUCAAAAAUGUCCAAAAAUGUCAUAGUAUAGUAAGGCAUCAAAAAUGUCCAAAAAUGUCAAAGUAUAGUUAGGCAUACAAAUGUUAUAGUAUAGUAU